RNAcentral lists this long non-coding RNA (265 nucleotides) under Physcomitrium patens. RNAcentral's name for it is "long non-coding RNA (PPAT_LNC013017)". Lineage: Eukaryota; Viridiplantae; Streptophyta; Bryopsida; Funariales; Funariaceae. The record is from RNAcentral.
GUAUGAAAAACUUGUCUCCCAAGGCAUCAUCAAGACCAUUUAAAAAUAACUCUACCUUUAAAAUACUCAAUGAUCGUCUCUCUGAGGAUGAAAGUUGAUAAAAUCUCCUAUCAAGUUCUUCCAAGAAUUCAUAAAGAUCCAUCUGCUUGCCUGAUUGAAACUCUAUCCAAUUCAAAAACUUUCGCUUGGUAAUCUUAUCUUCAUAUCUAUCAAUAAAUUCUUUCUUCAAAAGUUCUUGAAAUUUUGGCCAUGUUUCUAUACUCCC